This 486-nucleotide ribosomal RNA is filed under the name uncultured bacterium. RNAcentral's name for it is "partial 16S ribosomal RNA". It matches the Rfam family "Bacterial small subunit ribosomal RNA", at positions 30 to 507 of the family's 1533-position model. The record is from RNAcentral.
AUUGAACGCUGGCGGCAUGCCUUACACAUGCCAGUCGAACGGCAGCACGGGUGCUUGCACCUGGUGGCGAGUGGCGAACGGGUGAGUAAUACAUCGGAACAUGUCCUGUAGUGGGGGAUAGCCCGGCGAAAGCCGGAUUAAUACCGCAUACGAUCUACGGAUGAAAGCGGGGGACCUUCGGGCCUCGCGCUAUAGGGUUGGCCGAUGGCUGAUUAGCUAGUUGGUGGGGUAAAGGGCUACAACGGCGACGAUCAGUAGCUGGUCUGAGAGGACGACCAGCCACACUGGGACUGGAACACGGCCCAGACUCCUACGGGAGGCAGCAGUGGGGAAUUUUGGACAAUGGGCGAAAGCCUGAUCCAGCAAUGCCGCGUGUGUGAAGAAGGCCUUCGGGUUGUAAAGCACUUUUGUCCGGAAAGAAAUCCUUGGCCCUAAUACGGUCGGGGGAUGACGGUACCGGAAGAAUAAGCACCGGCUAACUACGUG